Molecule: long non-coding RNA, 311 nt
Filed under: Elaeis guineensis (African oil palm)
Lineage: Eukaryota; Viridiplantae; Streptophyta; Magnoliopsida; Arecales; Arecaceae
Description: long non-coding RNA (EGUI_LNC067358)
Source: RNAcentral
AUCUUCUCCCGUGCGACCGCCAGCUCGACUUUAAGGGGCUGAUCUUGGAAGCCUGAGUCCACGAUCGAUCACUGGCACGUUUCCGGAGUUCCUCAAGCUCCAUGAUGAAGUCGGCUUUCCUUUUGGUGUAUUUCAUGAGACUUUUCCUGUGGAGGUCUCGAAACUGAGUAGCCUCCACGGUGACCUCUGAAUGGCUCUCCUUCAACCGAUGAAGUUCGUCUUCCAGCCUCUUGGAUUUCCUUGUCAACUGACGAACUUCCUUUUGAAGGUCUCAUAUCAUCAACUUCAAGGGAAUACCCUCUGGCAGGGGA